RNAcentral lists this ribosomal RNA (441 nucleotides) under uncultured bacterium. RNAcentral describes it as "partial 16S ribosomal RNA". It matches the Rfam family "Bacterial small subunit ribosomal RNA", at positions 338 to 795 of the family's 1533-position model. The record is from RNAcentral.
CCUACGGGAGGCUGCAGUGGGGAAUAUUGCACAAUGGGGGAAACCCUGAUGCAGCGACGCCGCGUGAGUGAAGAAGUAGUUCGGUAUGUAAAGCUCUAUCAGCAGGGAAGAAGAAAGACGGUACCUGACUAAGAAGCCCCGGCUAACUACGUGCCAGUAGGCGCGGUACUACGUAGGGGGCAAGCGUUAUCCGGAUUUACUGGGUGUAAAGGGAGCGUAGGCGGCUGUGCAAGUCUGAAGUGAAAGCCCAGGGCCUAAACCUCGGACUGCUUUGGAAACUGUGGAGCUAGAGUGCUGGAGAGGUAAGUGGAAUGCGUAGUGUAGCGGUGAAAUGCGUAGAUAUUAGGAGGAACACCAGUGGCGAAGGCAGCUUACUGGACAGUAACUGACGUUGAGGCUCGAAAGCGUGGGGAGCAAACAGGAUUAGAUACCCGGGUAGUC